Molecule: ribosomal RNA, 497 nt
Filed under: uncultured bacterium
Lineage: Bacteria
Description: partial 16S ribosomal RNA
Rfam family: Bacterial small subunit ribosomal RNA
Source: RNAcentral
GACGAACGCUGGCGGCGUGCCUAAUACAUGCAAGUUGAGCGCUGAAGGUUGGUACUUGUACCAACUGGAUGAGCAGCGAACGGGUGAGUAACGCGUGGGGAAUCUGCCUUUGAGCGGGGGACAACAUUUGGAAACGAAUGCUAAUACCGCAUAAAAACUUUAAACACAAGUUUUAAGUUUGAAAGAUGCAAUUGCAUCACUCAAAGAUGAUCCCGCGUUGUAUUAGCUAGUUGGGGGGGUAAAGGCUCACCAAGGCGAUGAUACAUAGCCGACCUGAGAGGGUGAUCGGCCAAAUUGGGACUGGGACACGGCCCAAACUCCUACGGGAGGCAGCAGUAGGGAAUCUUCGGAAAUGGACGAAAGUCUGACCGAGCAACGCCGCGGGAGUGAAGAAGGGUGUCGGAUCGGAAAACUCUGUUGGUAGAGAAGAACGUUGGUGGGAGUGGAAAGCUCAUCAAGUGACGGUAACUACACAGAAAGGGACGGCUAACUACGUG